This 454-nucleotide ribosomal RNA is filed under the name uncultured bacterium. RNAcentral's name for it is "bacterial SSU rRNA". It matches the Rfam family "Bacterial small subunit ribosomal RNA", at positions 791 to 1243 of the family's 1533-position model. The record is from RNAcentral.
UAGUCCACGCCGUAAACGAUGUCAACUAGCCGUCGGGCUCAUAUAAGGGUUUGGUGGCGCAGCUAACGCGAUAAGUUGACCGCCUGGGGAGUACGCCGGCAACGGUAAAACUCAAAGGAAUUGACGGGGCCCGCACAAGCGGUGGAGCAUGUGGUUUAAUUCGAUGCAACGCGAAGAACCUUACCUACCCUUGACAUCCUCAGAACUUGUUAGAGAUAACUUGGUGCCUUCGGGAAUUGAGUGACAGGUGCUGCAUGGCUGUCGUCAGCUCGUGUCGUGAGGUGUUGGGUUAAGUCCCGCAACGAGCGCAACCCUUGCCCUUAGUUACCAUCAGUUCGGCUGGGAACUCUAAGGGGACUGCCGGGUCAACCCGGAGGAAGGUGGGGAUGGACGUCAAGUCCUCAUGGCCCUUAUGUCUGGGGGCUACACACGUGCUACAAUGGGUCGGUACAGA